GAUGAACGUUAGCGGGAGGCUUAAUACAUGCAAGUCGAGCGGUAAGUUUUUAUAGCAAUAUGAAGACCUAGAGCGGCGCACGGGUGAGUAACGCGUACACGACCUGGCCUAAACUGGGGGGAUAGCCUUGGGAAACUGAGAGUAAUCCCGCAUGUGAUUAUGUUACUGAUGGUGAUAUAAUUAAAGCUUCGGCGGUUUAGGAUGGGUGUGCGUCUGAUUAGCUAGUUGGUAGUGUAACGGACUACCAAGGCGAUGAUCAGGUAGGGGGCGUGAGAGCGUGACCCCCCCACACGGGUACUGAGACACGGACCCGACUCCUACGGGAGGCAGCAGUAAGGAAUAUUGGUCAAUGCCCGGAAGGGUGAACCAGCCAUCCCGCGUGAAGGAUGAAGGGGCUCUGCCUUGUAAACUUCUUUUGUAUGGGGCGAAAAAGGGGAUUUAUCCUCGACUGACGGUACCAUAAGAAUAAGCACCGGCUAACUCCGUG
RNAcentral lists this ribosomal RNA (487 nucleotides) under uncultured bacterium. Its description in RNAcentral is "bacterial SSU rRNA". It matches the Rfam family "Bacterial small subunit ribosomal RNA", at positions 28 to 507 of the family's 1533-position model. The record is from RNAcentral.